Molecule: ribosomal RNA, 1014 nt
Filed under: uncultured bacterium
Lineage: Bacteria
Description: bacterial SSU rRNA
Rfam family: Bacterial small subunit ribosomal RNA
Source: RNAcentral
CCUACGGGAGGCAGCAGUGGGGAAUCUUGCGCAAUGGGCGAAAGCCUGACGCAGCGACGCCGCGUGCGGGAAGAAGGCCUUCGGGUUGUAAACCGCUUUCAGGAGGGACGAAGCUACUCGGGUUAAUAGCCCAGAGGGUGACGGUACCUCCAGAAGAAGCCCCGGCUAACUACGUGCCAGCAGCCGCGGUAAUACGUAGGGGGCAAGCGUUGUCCGGAUUUAUUGGGCGUAAAGCGCGUGUAGGCGGCUAUACAGGUCCGUUGUGAAAACUCGAGGCUCAACCUCGAGACGUCGAUGGAAACCGUAUGGCUAGAGUCCGGAAGAGGAGAGCGGAAUUCCCGGUGUAGCGGUGAAAUGCGCAGAUAUCGGGAGGAACACCAGUAGCGAAGGCGGCUCGCUGGGCCGUUCCUGACGCUGAGACGCGAAAGCUAGGGGAGCGAACAGGAUUAGAUACCCUGGUAGUCCUAGCCGUAAACGAUGGACACUAGGUGUGGGGGGAGUCGAAUCCCUCUGUGCCGCAGUUAACGCGUUAAGUGUCCCGCCUGGGGAGUACGGCCGCAAGGCUAAAACUCAAAAGAAUUGACGGGGGCCCGCACAAGCAGCGGAGCAUGUUCUUUAAUUCGAUGCAACGCGAAGAACCUUACCUGGACUUGACAUGGUGCUGCAAGCGCACGGAAACGUGUGUCCUUCGAGGGUGCACCACAGAUGCUGCAUGGCUGUCGUCAGCUCGUGUCGUGAGAUGUUGGGUUAAGUCCCGCAACGAGCGCAACCCCUGUGGCGUGUUGCCAUCAUUAAGUUGGGGACUCACGCCAGACUGCCGGUGACAAACCGGAGGAAGGUGGGGAUGAGGUCAAGUCAUCAUGGCUCUUACGUCCAGGGCUAGAAACGUGCUACAAUGGCUGAUACAAAGGGUUGCAAGACCGCAAGGUGGAGCGAAUCUCAUCAAAGUCAGUCUAAGUUCGGAUCGCAGUCUGCACUCGACUGCGUGAAGGCGGAGUUGCUAUAAUCGCGCAU